Molecule: ribosomal RNA, 251 nt
Filed under: uncultured prokaryote
Description: partial 16S ribosomal RNA
Rfam family: Bacterial small subunit ribosomal RNA
Source: RNAcentral
UACGAAGGGGGCUAGCGUUGUUCGGAAUCACUGGGCGUAAAGGGCGCGUAGGCGGCUUUAUAAGUCGGGGGUGAAAGCCUGUGGCUCAACCACAGAAUUGCCUUCGAUACUGUAGAGCUUGAGACCGGAAGAGGUUAGUGGAACUGCGAGUGUAGAGGUGAAAUUCGUAGAUAUUCGCAAGAACACCAGUGGCGAAGGCGGCUGACUGGUCCGGUUCUGACGCUGAGGCGCGAAAGCGUGGGGAGCAAACA